RNAcentral lists this ribosomal RNA (213 nucleotides) under uncultured bacterium. Its description in RNAcentral is "partial 16S ribosomal RNA". It matches the Rfam family "Bacterial small subunit ribosomal RNA", at positions 524 to 733 of the family's 1533-position model. The record is from RNAcentral.
UACGGAGGGUGCGAGCGUUGUCCGGAAUCACUGGGCGUAAAGGGCGCGUAGGCGGCUUGGGAAGUCCGUGGUGAAAGCCCGAGGCUCAACUUCGGGUCGGCCAUGGACUACUCCUAAGCUCGAGUCGACUAGAGGCUAAUGGAAUUCCGGGUGUAGCGGUGGAAUGCGUAGAGAUCCGGAAGAACACCGGUGGCGAAGGCGGGUUCAGCUGGG